GACAAGGGACGGCGCGCGGGAGCUUGCUGAUUGGCUCUUCGGAAGCCCACUUUCUCCGCGGGCCACACUGAUAUUAUACCUUCAUUUUAAGGAGGGAAAGGAGAUCUUUGAGAUAUACUUGACUCCCACAGGCAGGUGGUUCUGAUAAAGCCCCUCGGUCCAGAUGGAGGCAGCUCCGUCCUGGGCUGUCCCAGGAUGCCUCGCCUGCUGUGUACAAAGACUCCCUGCUGGGACGCCUGCACGUCUAAAUGAGAGACGUCCGGUAAUGUGCUGCAGUUUGCAGGCAGGUCUUUAGGGACCUGGUGUAUAGUAUGACGGGGGGUGGGGCAGGUGACCUGGAUAUCGAGACCCCCAUGGAGGGUUGAUUUCAGAGGGUGAAAACCAGAGGGUGUGACAGAAAAUGCAGUGCUAAUGCACUUGGACAUCAUGUUUUUGGGGGAAGAAAUAAUUUUGGGGAAGCUGUUUAUUUUAGCAUAGCAUUUUAUUUUAAAAACACCAAAACCUCUCUUUAAUAAUAUAUGAAUCACUGCCACAUGUAUUUUUCCCAUGUCUUUACUGACACAAAGUGUUGGAACAUCACACCAAUGAUGCUAAUGACGAGUAGCAUCGUGUUACUUACUCCUGCAGUGAAUGCUAACAAUUAGCAUCUACUGUUUACAUCCAGUUUUAACCAGUAUAAACAAACUUUAACUGUCGGUUUACUUAUGAAAAUGUUCCCUAGGAUUUUGUGCUAACCGGUGAAGUUGCCCCCUUCUGGCUAAUCCUUACAACUGUUACUCUUUAUCCAUCCGUGCACAGUCUUUCAUUGUGUUGCUUACAAUCAAACAGACAGAUGCAGCCAGAACUAAAACCUCCUUGGCAGCAGCUAACAAUCUGGCAACGACGUGAGAGGAGGAAAAAAAAAGGAUGAAAUCUAAAGGAAAUAAAUAACAGGUGUGUGUCGAGGCGGGAGUAUGUAUCUGAUUGGUAAUCUGAAACAGGUGAGCAGGUGGAUCUGGUAACAAAAGGAAAAUGUGGAUUAGAGGAGUGUGACAAGAGGCCUUUGGAAGCAGCUAAGACAGAAAUCACAGCAGAAAAUGAGGAACAGCAGCGUGUUUUCAAUCCUCCGACUUCAUCCCAGUCUGACGACCAGAGCCAAUAAAAUCCCAGGACGCUUCCUCUCCGGCCUCUUCGUUGUGACAUCUACUACUUGUACCACAUACUGGGCUUUGUCAAAUCGUAUUCCAAACAGUUGAUGCUGCAUUUUCUUUGUCUUUUUUUAUUUUUUUUGGCUAGUUAGCAUGAGCAGGUACAGCUGUGGAAAUCAAAAGAGGAGAGAGAACAAACCAUCUGGAGUCAGAGGCUCACUGUGGGCUAAGGUUUCGGCGCUAUUUCCCCCAUUUCUGUCCCGAGACAAGAAGGCUUUAAGUUUCACUUCUGGACUUUGAGUUUUUGGCUACAUUUCUAACGGACGAGUCUUCAGCAGUGACGUUCCAGCUGUGAUGUCACACACCACCCAGAGGAACACAACAUCCCUGCUGCUGCCUCCGUACCACUGUGGGUCCAUAUUGUAGCGGUUAUCGCGCCUGCUUUACACAUACAGAAGGACCAGGGUUCAAGCCCCGGAGGAACCAUACACCUAAAGCAACUCAAGUAAGUGGCUUAA
Molecule: long non-coding RNA, 1645 nt
Organism: Cynoglossus semilaevis (tongue sole)
Lineage: Eukaryota; Metazoa; Chordata; Actinopteri; Pleuronectiformes; Cynoglossidae
Exons: 3
Source: RefSeq, a predicted model, not a curated record